UGAACGCUGGCGGUAGGCCUAACACAUGCAAGUCGAACGGCAGCACAGUAAGAGCUUGCUCUUACGGGUGGCGAGUGGCGGACGGGUGAGGAAUACAUCGGAAUCUACUUUUUCGUGGGGGAUAACGUAGGGAAACUUACGCUAAUACCGCAUACGACCUACGGGUGAAAGCAGGGGAUCUUCGGACCUUGCGCGAUUGAAUGAGCCGAUGUCGGAUUAGCUAGUUGGCGGGGUAAAGGCCCACCAAGGCGACGAUCUGUAGCUGGUCUGAGAGGAUGAUCAGCCACACUGGAACUGAGACACGGUCCAGACUCCUACGGGAGGCAGCAGUGGGGAAUAUUGGACAAUGGGCGCAAGCCUGAUCCAGCCAUACCGCGUGGGUGAAGAAGGCCUUCGGGUUGUAAAGCCCUUUUGUUGGGAAAGAAAAGCAGCAGGUUAAUACCCCGCUGUUCUGACGGUACCCAAAGAAUAAGCACCGGCUAACUUCGUG
RNAcentral lists this ribosomal RNA (490 nucleotides) under uncultured bacterium. Its description in RNAcentral is "partial 16S ribosomal RNA". It matches the Rfam family "Bacterial small subunit ribosomal RNA", at positions 30 to 507 of the family's 1533-position model. The record is from RNAcentral.